Molecule: long non-coding RNA, 889 nt
Organism: Polypterus senegalus (gray bichir)
Lineage: Eukaryota; Metazoa; Chordata; Cladistia; Polypteriformes; Polypteridae
Exons: 3
Source: RefSeq, a predicted model, not a curated record
AAGUUCCUCAAACUUUCGUUUUCGUGGGAUUCUCUGCUGCUGGUUUGCUGUCUCUUUCCCUUCAGUAUUACCUCGGACGUUGUGAGCCACGGGCUGCGUGAAGUGGACUUUACUGACCUUCCUUGCCCUUUUAUCAGAAGCAGAUGCCAGCGCUGUUCCAAGUGCAUAGGAUUUUCUGUCCCUUGACGUCAUUUUUCAAUGCUGAAAGUAGUGUGCCUGUCUUUGUCAGUCUUGUGUUAUUUCCGCCCUUCCAUUUCACAAACUGUGAUCAAUGGAGUCCUCCAUUCUGAUGUACUGUUGCCUUUUAAUUUUUCUAAAAAUGGGUAUUCAGUAGACCUAAAGUUCACCAGAGUAAUCUGGAAAAAAAAUAAUAAGGAGCUGGUGAGAUAUGAAUCGGAGAAAAUGGAAGUGGCCACAAGGGGGAAGCUGUUUGAAGCAGGGCUGCUGCACGGUAACGCCUCCCUCGUCCUUCAGAAGCUCCUUAUUGAUGACGAAGGGGACUAUGAAAGUGAGGUGAACUAUGCUUCGGAGCACUACAAGAAAACCUUCAGGCUCAAUGUUAUAGGUAAUGAACCACUGUCUACUUUGUCACAUAAAUACAAGCUCAUUAUUAAAUAAAUAAGAAAACUUUCACGAUUGUCAAUAUCUAGGAGGCUAGGCCAGUGGUAAACAUCCUAAAGGCAUCUGUUUCUCCAAGGUUCUUGUUAUGAGACAUCUGAAAACUUGAUGUGCUUUGUGUGACCUCAGAGUGAUGGGCAUAGCAGUUGUAGGCAAGAGGUUUGUAGCCAUGCAGAGACUGUACAAAUGAUCCUUGAGUAGGAAGUUGUGCAGCAUUACGAUGGGCUAAGAUCUCCAACCCACUGUAUUUCAUGCCAUGUCUCUGAUACAA